GUUAAGUAGACCGCCUGGGGAGUACGGUCGCAAGAUUAAAACUCAAAUGAAUUGACGGGGGCCCGCACAAGCGGUGGAGCAUGUGGUUUAAUUCGAUGCAACGCGAAGAACCUUACCUACUCUUGACAUCCAGAGAAUCUAGCGGAGACGCUGGAGUGCCUUCGGGAGCUCUGAGACAGGUGCUGCAUGGCUGUCGUCAGCUCGUGUUGUGAAAUGUUGGGUUAAGUCCCGCAACGAGCGC
RNAcentral lists this ribosomal RNA (241 nucleotides) under Vibrio cholerae. RNAcentral describes it as "partial 16S ribosomal RNA". It matches the Rfam family "Bacterial small subunit ribosomal RNA", at positions 859 to 1099 of the family's 1533-position model. Lineage: Bacteria; Pseudomonadati; Pseudomonadota; Gammaproteobacteria; Vibrionales; Vibrionaceae. The record is from RNAcentral.